This 76-nucleotide transfer RNA is filed under the name Chryseobacterium carnipullorum. RNAcentral describes it as "tRNA-Arg(tcg)". It matches the Rfam family "tRNA". From Rfam's summary of the family: Transfer RNA (tRNA) molecules are approximately 80 nucleotides in length. Lineage: Bacteria; Pseudomonadati; Bacteroidota; Flavobacteriia; Flavobacteriales; Weeksellaceae. The record is from RNAcentral.
GGCUGCGUAGUUCAACUGGAUAGAAUAUCAGAUUUCGGCUCUGAGGGUUGGGGGGUUCGAAUCCCUUCGCGGUCAC